RNAcentral lists this ribosomal RNA (458 nucleotides) under uncultured bacterium. RNAcentral describes it as "partial 16S ribosomal RNA". It matches the Rfam family "Bacterial small subunit ribosomal RNA", at positions 338 to 795 of the family's 1533-position model. The record is from RNAcentral.
CCUACGGGAGGCAGCAGUGAGGAAUAUUGGUCAAUGGGCGAGAGCCUGAACCAGCCAAGUCGCGUGAGGGAGUACUGUACUAAGGGUUGUAAACCUCUUUUGUCGGGGAGCAAAAGCUGGACGUGUUCGGCUGAUAGAGUUCCCGGAGAAAAAGAAUCGGCUUACCCCGUGCCAGCAGCCGCCGUAAUACGGAGGAUGCGAGCGUUAUCCGGAUUUUAUGGGUUUAAAGGGUGCGCAGGCGGAUUUUUAAGUUAGCGGUCAAAUCGUGGGGCUCAACCCCAUCCAGCCGUUGAAACUGGGGAUCUAGAGUGGGCGAGAGGUAUGCGGAAUGCGUGGUGUAGCGGUGAAAUGCAUAGAUAUCACGCAGAACCCCGAUUGCGAAGGCAGCAUACCGGUGCACAACUGACGCUCAGGCACGAAAGCGUGGGUAUCGAACAGGAUUAGAUACCCUAGUAGUC